Molecule: ribosomal RNA, 419 nt
Filed under: uncultured bacterium
Lineage: Bacteria
Description: bacterial SSU rRNA
Rfam family: Bacterial small subunit ribosomal RNA
Source: RNAcentral
GAAUAUUGGGCAAUGGGUGCAAGCCUGACCCAGCCAUGCCGCGUGCAGGAAGAAUGCGUUCUGCGUUGUAAACUGCUUUUGAUCGGGAAGAAAGCGUCUUUGCGAAGACAGUUGACGGUACCGAUAGAAUAAGCACCGGCUAACUCCGUUCCAGCCGCCGCGGUAAUACGGAGGGUGCAAGCGUUGUCCGGAUUCAUUGGGUUUAAAGGGUGCGUAGGCGGAUUGAUAAGGCAGUGGUGAAAGGCAGCGGCUCAACCGUUGAGUUGCCAUUGAUACUGCCAGUCUUGAGUGCACUAGAGGUAAGUGGAAUUUAUGGUGUAGCGGUGAAAUGCAUAGAUACCAUAAAGAACACCAAUAGCGAAGGCAGCUUACUAGAGUGUAACUGACGCUGAGGCACGAAAGCGUGGGGAGCGAACAGG